GAGUCGGGUAUUCGGGUACCCUAAAUUACCCGAUCAAUUCUAACAAAUUCGAACAAAACAGUAAACCAAACAUCCAAACACAAUUCUAACAAAUUCGAUGCAGCAAAUUUUACCAAGAAUAGGAAAUCGUCAAAUCGAAAUUCUAACAAGUCUCUCUAACCACAUUGACAACAAUGACAAGGAAAUGAAUUCAAAAUCUGUAAUAAAAAAAAAAAAAAAAAAGAAGAAGAAGCUCACCUGUCGUCGGAGCUCGGAGGCGGCACGGCUGCUGCGGGGAGACAAGCUCGGCGGCGAACGGCGGGGCGAUUGCUGAGUGCUGACUGGGCGAGGGUCACGGUGGGAGUCGCGGCCUCGUGGGAUUGGGGAGGCUGGGACGACUGCCUCUUAAAUGUGAACGACGGCGAUGCCGGGCUGGCGAGGGGCGCCGCCUCCCACGCCGGAGACGGUAACGAUUUCUGGAGACUGGAGUGCGGCGGCCGAGCGGGAGUGAGCGGUAGGGCUGGGAGCCUGGGAGGAUUUGGGAACAGGGGGUUAGGAGGUAUUUCGGGUAUUUUACUUUCAUAUUUAAUUUAAUUAAAUAGUUUAAAAUUUAUUAAUUAAAAUAUCGGGUAUUUCGGGUAUACCCGAUACCCGAUCGGGUAUACCCGAUACCCGAUUAUUUCACACCCUAAAUACCCGAUCCCGAACCCGAUCC
RNAcentral lists this long non-coding RNA (694 nucleotides) under Salvia miltiorrhiza (redroot sage). Its description in RNAcentral is "long non-coding RNA (SMIL_LNC012690)". The record is from RNAcentral. Lineage: Eukaryota; Viridiplantae; Streptophyta; Magnoliopsida; Lamiales; Lamiaceae.